RNAcentral lists this microRNA precursor (103 nucleotides) under Marmota monax (woodchuck). The record is from RNAcentral. Lineage: Eukaryota; Metazoa; Chordata; Mammalia; Rodentia; Sciuridae.
AGUGGGACAGCUAGAUCAAAUGGUGAUUCCAUUACAAAUUUUCUAAGGAAUCUCUAAACUGCUUUCCAGAGUGGUUGCAUCAAUUUGCAGUCCCACCAGCAGU